AUGGAGCCUGAGGAAAAGCAGGGUCAGCUCUCGGCUCAGCUCGUGGCUGAGCCACCACGGCUUGGGCAAUUACACCGAUGUCUCAGGAAUGUAAGAGCAGUUGAAUGGGAUGGACCAGAGCGUGCUGAGCCCAGCAUCCUGCUUCCAUGUGGUUCACAGGCAGAGAAUAAAUCCGUAGCAUCUUUGAGACAAUAGUGGCAGUACAAGGAAAGACCACAGGAUAUUCCCAGAGAGUUACCGAACAGCGACCGUCUGUAAGUCCUUACAGCAGCAAAGGGAUUCAAGUAAAGCUGUUUUAAACAUGCUAUUUUGGUAAUGUGGUAAAACGCCUGUAUUGACUCAAAUGGCAAAGCAGAGAAGGAGGGCCCACGGGGCUACGAGUGGGACUGAGAUGCAUUAGCAGCAUUGCUGCGGGAAAACCUUGUCCUAGAGACAUCUCAAAUUCACAUUUCCAGCCUGCCUGGGUGCAUUUAGAGAGAAACACAUUUCUCUCUAAAAGAGACUUCUGGCUUGAGCUCCUUUGAGGAAACCACCCGUGCUCACCACCCAGAGCCGUGUCCGCUCCCAGUUCCUCGAAGGGCCAGAAGUCUCCUGAACACCCAUCGAAGUGUCUGGCAUCGGGAACAAGGAGCUUGUGCGGCAUGGAGGACCCUCAGAUGCCUUAUCAGGCACCAAUACAAGGAGAUGUUUUAUCAGAUAGGAGGGGAAAAAAGUUGUUUCAGAGCCAACAUGAGUCACAGAGGCACCGCUAGCGCUGCACAGCCCUGCUCAGGUUAAUAAAAUGCCUGCCAGAGCCUGGGUGGCUCA
RNAcentral lists this long non-coding RNA (807 nucleotides) under Anser cygnoides (Swan goose). RNAcentral describes it as "lncRNA (ENSACDG00005010334.1)". Lineage: Eukaryota; Metazoa; Chordata; Aves; Anseriformes; Anatidae. The record is from RNAcentral.